AUCCUUCGGGAUUAGUGGCGGACGGGUGAGUAACACGUGGGAACGUGCCUUUUGGUUCGGAACAACUCAGGGAAACUUGAGCUAAUACCGGAUAAGCCUUUCGAGGGAAAGAUUUAUCGCCAUUAGAGCGGCCCGCGUAGGAUUAGCUAGUUGGUGGGGUAAAGGCCCACCAAGGCUACGAUCCUUAGCUGGUCUGAGAGGAUGAUCAGCCACAUUGGGACUGAGACACGGCCCAAACUCCUACGGGAGGCAGCAGUGGGGAAUCUUGCGCAAUGGGCGAAAGCCUGACGCAGCCAUGCCGCGUGAAUGAUGAAGGUCUUAGGAUUGUAAAAUUCUUUCACCGGGGACGAUAAUGACGGUACCCGGAGAAGAAGCCCCGGCUAACUUCGUGCCAGCAGCCGCGGUAAUACGAAGGGGGCUAGCGUUGCUCGGAAUUACUGGGCGUAAAGGGAGCGUAGGCGGAUAGUUUAGUCAGAGGUGAAAGCCCAGGGCUCAACCUUGGAAUUGCCUUUGAUACUGGCUAUCUUGAGUACGGAAGAGGUAUGUGGAACUCCGAGUGUAGAGGUGAAAUUCGUAGAUAUUCGGAAGAACACCAGUGGCGAAGGCGACAUACUGGUCCGUUACUGACGCUGAGGCUCGAAAGCGUGGGGAGCAAACAGGAUUAGAUACCCUGGUAGUCCACGCUG
This 686-nucleotide ribosomal RNA is filed under the name Caulobacter sp. B695_2. RNAcentral's name for it is "bacterial SSU rRNA". It matches the Rfam family "Bacterial small subunit ribosomal RNA", at positions 81 to 802 of the family's 1533-position model. The record is from RNAcentral. Lineage: Bacteria; Pseudomonadati; Pseudomonadota; Alphaproteobacteria; Caulobacterales; Caulobacteraceae.